Molecule: ribosomal RNA, 466 nt
Filed under: uncultured bacterium
Lineage: Bacteria
Description: bacterial SSU rRNA
Rfam family: Bacterial small subunit ribosomal RNA
Source: RNAcentral
GACGACGCUGGCGGCGUGCUUAACACAUGCAAGUCGAACGGUGACGAGGAGCUUGCUCCUCUGAUCAGUGGCGAACGGGUGAGUAACACGUGAGCAACCUGCCCCAGACUCUGGGAUAACAGUUGGAAACAGCUGCUAAUACCGGAUACGAGACGGAGAGGCAUCUCUACCGUCGUGGAAAGUUUUUCGGUCUGGGAUGGACUCGCGGCCUAUCAGCUAGUUGGUGAGGUAAUGGCUCACCAAGGCGACGACGGGUAGCCGGCCUGAGAGGGCGACCGGCCACACUGGGACUGAGACACGGCCCAGACUCCUACGGGAGGCAGCAGUGGGGAAUAUUGCACAAUGGGCGAAAGCCUGAUGCAGCGACGCCGCGUGAGGGAUGACGGCCUUCGGGUUGUAAACCUCUUUCAGCAGGGAAGAAGCGAAAGUGACGGUACCUGCAGAAGAAGCACCGGCUAACUACGUG